Molecule: transfer RNA, 61 nt
Filed under: Tychobythinus sp. 1 EF-2015
Lineage: Eukaryota; Metazoa; Arthropoda; Insecta; Coleoptera; Staphylinidae
Description: tRNA-Cys
Source: RNAcentral
AGUCUUAUAGUCAAAAUAUGAUAUUAAAUUGCAAAUUUAAAGUUAGUAUAUCUUAAGGCUU